AGCAGACGAGCUUGACAGUGGCUCAGAUCAACUAAACUCAGGAAGUGAAUGAAAGACACAAUCAGAACCCAGAUUGAAUGGACUCGACCAUCAGGACCCGUCUCUACUUUGAACAUGUUUUAAUCCCACAGACCUUCAGGGAGAAGAAGGUCGUGUGACACAUGAGAGAAGGAACAUUUCUCAUUUGAUAUUAAUCUUCUCGUUAGUUUGGACUGAGGUCAGCAGCAGGUCAUGAGUCUGUGUUGACAUGAACAGGUGUAGGAAUGUUGUGUUGACAUGAUGAAGAUCCACAAGACUCAUUGAUCAGGAUUAUCAAUGAUGUGAUUCUUUGUUUUAUUCUUCAUCCAGGUUGAAGAGCUGCAGGUUGUCAGAGAUCAGCUGUUCUUCUCUGGCCUCAGCUCUGAGUCCACAACCUCCCACCUGAGACGACUGGAGCUGAGAGACAACACGCUGCAGGAUUCAGGAGUGAAGGAGCUGCGUGAUCUUGUCCAGACAGUCGUGUGUUGAGUCUGGAUCCAGUGAGAUUCGUGCUAACUUCCGAGAGGGAGAAGAUGGACGUGCCGAGGAGGAGAGCAGGGGAGUGUGCAGGGAGACAGAUGGAGAUGUACCAGUUAGCCUUGAAAAAUGUCUGCUUCAAUGUGACAGAUGAAUUGUUAUGUGUUUUAAUUUCAAAUGAGCAGCAUGACGUACAGCUGCUGUCUUCCAUGGUAGGACAACAGCGGUGGAGGUUUUUCAAACCCUGGCCGCUGCACCCAGACUUCCAUCGGCUGUGAGGAUGGUGAUUUUAUUAUGACAUCAUCUUUUCCUACAUUGUUCUACAACUAAUACUGUGGUGUGUAUCAAACGCAAGAAAAGUGUUUCCUUUCAUAUACAGUAUCCCCUUGCUGGCAGCAAAGUGACAGUUCUGAAGAAGGCCUUCCUGCGACUGAACCGAUCUCACAUGGCAAUUUUUGCCCUGUGUGUGUGUGUGUGUGUGUGUGUGUGUGUGUGUGUGUGUGUGUGUAGAGGAUGGGGGGGUUUGCUAUAUUUUAAAGGGAGAGUUCGGUUUUUUAUGUAUGUUUAUUAAUACAUAACCCCUUUCAGGUAUUGAUUUCAUUAAUAAUUGUUUUCUCUUCAAGUGUGAUGGUGUUUAUGUAAUUUUGAAUAGCUUUGAAAACAAUGCAGUCCACAUGAGGAAAUAUAGCCUUUAGUACACUGGCAAUAUGUUUUUUGUGUAAUGUAGUAUAGCAAAAUAAUAAAAAGUUUAUUCAUAAAUAACUACAAAGGGUACUUUUUAUUAAUUAGAAUAAGCUAAAAAUAUAAGUGAUGUACAAUAUUACUACAAUAAUAAUAUAUUAAUGGUAUAUUGUUUGUACAUUAAAA
RNAcentral lists this long non-coding RNA (1362 nucleotides) under Scophthalmus maximus (turbot). RNAcentral describes it as "lncRNA (ENSSMAG00000025136.1)". Lineage: Eukaryota; Metazoa; Chordata; Actinopteri; Pleuronectiformes; Scophthalmidae. The record is from RNAcentral.